ACGAAGUACUAGGAAACAGGUUUUCUAAAUUACAAUGCGAACAUUCCUGUUUUUACAUUGAAAAUAUCUGGGACUAGGUGUCAUUCUAAAAUCUAAACUAUCUCCCAUGUAACGAAACUAUGUAAGGUUUGCACGCUUAUAACUUCGCUAUUACUAGAUGGAUUUCUAUCAUUCAUACUCCAACCGAUUCAGAAACACCUAACUUAAAUAUCGGUAGUAAUUUAAUAUAUCUGCAAUAAAAGUAGUCUUUUGAAAAUCGGUUAAAUUGAAAAGGUCACGAAAAAAGGGAAAAUUGCCAUUCGUGAGGCAAAUUUCUCAGUUGGAAACACCUUAGUGGCACAAUCAAACACGAAAAGUCAUAAAUAGAAGCGACGCGUACCCGUUUGAAUCAGUUGUUGCUCUUAUCCCAUACGAGCAACAUCGUCUCCGGGCGAUGCAAUAAUUAAUCCAUAUUAACCCAAUCAAAUUCCGAAUGGUUUGACCGGGAUGGUACUGCAAUGGGCGUGAUUUUCUAUUCAUCUCUGUUUCCGCUUUAGCCGCUUGGGUCAUUCGUUGGUACCUGUCAUGGUGUGGCCCGACGCCUGUCGGGCUUGGACCAUCUUAUCAGUUUACCAUGUGUAAAAUGGAAAGACAAAGUCGCAAAUAUCGAGUUGCUCGGCGAAACCUAUGUGAAAAAGUAAAGGAAUUGUUGGAGGCAUCCUCAUUUUUGAAUUGGGCUAUGGAAAGGCAGAUACUACCACGUUUAGGAAGCAAACGAUCUCAAUGCACUGAAAUAUCUGGAAUGGAUGAAGGAUUCCAUCUAAUUACCAUCCAAUUGGGAAAGUAAUCAAG
Long non-coding RNA from Topomyia yanbarensis, 831 nucleotides. RefSeq lists it as uncharacterized. The transcript has 3 exons. Lineage: Eukaryota; Metazoa; Arthropoda; Insecta; Diptera; Culicidae. The record is from RefSeq and is a predicted model, not a curated record.